CGUGUUUACAUUUCUAAUCAAGAAGAUGUUCAUCUAUGUACUCAACAACCCAGGUUUCCUUGCAUCUGAGCUGCUGAAGCGCUUCAAAAACAACAUCUCUUGUUUCCUAAAGAAGAAGAUGCCUGGACAAGCAGCACAAGUCAUUCAGGAGGAAGAGGGUAAUUCAGUUGAGUUUCCUGAGCUACCCGGCUGCUGUGAUUCAACAACCACCAGGAAAUUUUGAUGAUGGUGCUCUCCUGAGCUCCUCCCUGUCCCAGGGAAGACAAAAUCAUUGAAACUGUGCAAAUAAAGUGUUAGUUCGCUGGAAUGAGGUCUCAUGGCUGUUUAUGCGGUGGUUGGCUGCUCAGGACAGGGAUGAAGAGGGUGAUCCGGAAGAGUCUUUUGAACUACUUGGCUGCGGUGUUUAAACAACCACCAGGAAAUUUUGAUGACCGUUCUCUCCGGAGCUCCUGUCUUUCCCCAGAGAAACAAAAGCAUCGAAACUACAAAAAUAAAGUGUUAUUUGGCUGGAAUGAGGUCUCAUGGUUGUUUAUGCGGUGGCUCGCUGCUCAAGACAGGGCUCCGCCGCCUCCGCCAUCUUCUGAGCACUCCACGCUGCCACCUUCACGUUUCUCUACUGGCCUCCAAGUACUCCAAAAUCUUUCGGAUCUGUGCCCCUACCCCUGUUUUUAGCAUGUUUGGGGACUCCAGGUCCCUGAAGGUUUCUGGCCUGAAAUCCACCUCCCCAGCCUCAUGGAUUCUGCUCUAGAGACCCCGCACUCCGCAGGGUUCCCAGGCCCCGAGGGACAAAAAAGUGAUCUGUGCACUUCAGGGCUCCACACUCGGCAAGGCCUUUCAAGUCCUCAGGGUCCCCUCCUCAGUUUUCUUCACAUUUCUGGACUGUAGUCACUCCAUAAAUGCUGGGAUCUGAUCCCCACCCCAGUGAUUUUUUUUAGUUCCAUGAGUGAUGCUGACUGAAUAGUCAUCCUAAGAGUGAUGAGAGCUUUUGAAUUUGCGGCAAGUUUUAGAGUAGUGUGAGUGGCUUGAGAUCGCGAAAUUGGGGCUAGCGUUGGAUGUGAGGUUAGGCUGGUGGAAAAAUGUGCCCAGAACCAGAGGAGUGUGGCUCACUGCGCGUGGUUAGGAUCAAAACAGAAUUGCACGGAUGUAUAGCUUUGGGGUAAAGAAUAACAUGGUUCAGAAGUGCAUGUAUUAGUCUGUUCACGCAUCGCUAUAGUUACCUGAGACUGGGUAAUUAUUUAUAAAAACUCAGGUUUAAUUGGCUCAUGGUUCCACAGGCUGUACAGAAAUCAUGAUGCUGGCCAUCACCUCAACUUCUGGGGAGGCGUCAGAAAACUUAGAGUAAUGGCAAAAAGUACAAGGGAAUCAGGCUCAUCUUCCAUGGCCUGAGCUGGAGAAAGUGGUAGGAAAGGUGCUACACACUUUCAAACAACCAGAUAUUUUUAGAACUCUAUCGCCAGGCAGCACCUACAGUAUGGUGCUAAAUUAUUCAUGAAAUAUCCACCCCCAUGAUCCUCUCAAUUCUCACCAGUCCAACCAGCCCCACCUCCACCAUUGGGGAUUACAGUUUCACAUGAGGUGUGACUGGGGACACAGAUCCUAACUCAAUCAGUGGCAUCCUGGAUUGCCUUCUAUAUCUUCUAGUAUAGAAGAAGAACCAGGAGCUGACUAUGAUCCUUAAGACUACCCACACUGGCCAGGCAGGGUGGCUCAUGCCUAUAAUUCCAGCACUUUGGGAAUUCAAAGUGGGUGGAUCACCUGAGGUCAGGAGUUUGAGACCAGCCUGGCCAACAUAGUGAAACCCUGUCUCUACUAAAAAUCCAAAAAAAAAAAAAAAAAAGAAAAGACAACUGUUGUACCAGAUGCCUGUAAUCACAGCUACUCCGGAGACUGAGGCAGGAGAAUCGCUUGAACUUGGGAGGCGGAGGUGGCAGUGAGCCCCAAUCGCACUACUAAACUCCAGCAUGGGCAACAAUACCAAAACAUCAUCUCAAAAAAAAAAAAAAAAAGACUGCCUAUGACCAGUGAGAGGGACACCAGCAUCGCUGAGAUGCAAGUGCUGGACAUUCUUCAUAGGUCAGAGCUUAAAGCAGGCCACACUGUUACAGAGAUGGGCUCCAUUCAUAGCACCGAAGUGGUGAGAAGAUGUGGGAAUGGCAGAGGCCAGCACUUUGCCAUCAAUGCAAGGUGGGUAUAAGAAGCUGGCACCAGUGCUAGAGUGCAUCGGGGAGGACUGCUUUGCAAUAUCUAGCACUUACCUCUUAGAAUAUGUUUCAUUAGGGACAACAGAUACAAAUGACAGACAACUAUGUCCCUUCACUAACAGGAAAUAGAAGUCAUCAAGAUGAACAGAAAGCAGAUGUCAGCAGCCCUCAUAUAAAGUCAUCAUACUUCAUCCAGUUAAAACCUGAGACAGUUCUCACACAAGAAGGCCUAACUCAAAGAGACUGGGUUCUCAUGAGGCAGGUUCAUGCAAAACCAAGGGAAGCUUACAACUUUGGGAUUCUCCAGUUUCCCUUGGAAAAGACCUACAAUAAUUUGCUUAAGUAAAUGAGCACUGGACAAAGGUGAGUAUUGUUAUCUUUCAGAAGCUCUUGGCCAUGAAGGUCUUGUUGGCAUAAAACCCAUGGUUUGGAAAGAUCACCAUGACCCCUGUUAGAGUAAUGGCCUAGGGCGAUGGUCAGGAAACUGAUGUAUUCCUUGCCAACUUCUGCCUCUAAGUGAGUGCACUCUGUUCAUGAACCUCUCUCCUCUAUAGUUAUGUUCCCAGGAUCUCAUGUACAAUCAGGAGUCAUAGACUUAGAAAAGGCAAAAAUACAGUGUUUCUGUGGCCUGUGAGAUAUGACUUAUAAUUCUAGGAAAAAAACAAUUGCAGAUGGGAAGCCUAAAUCUGUCAAUGCUCACCCAAGACAAUAUAAUCAAUAAAAAUCAGUAUCAACUCCCAAGGCAAAUUAUUUCCUGUAUAUAGAUGGCAGAGAUGAUCACCACCAUCAAAAACUCAAGGACCAGUGCUGUUGGUCUGGUCAUCUCUUUCAUGGAAUUCACCAGUCUGGUAUCUUCAAAAUCCAGAGGGAUGAUGGCAGAUGACAGGAAACUAAUGCGAACACCAUCAGUUGUACCUCCACUGUAGCAGCAGUAAUGGAUGUUAUCUCUUCAUUAUAAUAUCCAGGGAGAGGGAGAGGAUGAUAUUAUUCCCAAUACUCUAAACACCCUGAGUGUACAGCCUCUGUGAUAUUUUUUAUAAUAUCUGGUAGGGGGAGAAUUGUAUUACUCCUAAUAUCUCAGGGGACGUGCCCCUCUGUGAUAAUGUUCCUAAUACACAGGAGGGGAGAUGAUAUUACUCUUAAUAUCACAGGGAGUGUACACCCCACUGUAAUAUUGUUUAUAAUAUCCG
Molecule: long non-coding RNA, 3391 nt
Organism: Rhinopithecus roxellana (golden snub-nosed monkey)
Lineage: Eukaryota; Metazoa; Chordata; Mammalia; Primates; Cercopithecidae
Source: Ensembl